RNAcentral lists this ribosomal RNA (416 nucleotides) under uncultured eukaryote. Its description in RNAcentral is "SSU rRNA". It matches the Rfam family "Eukaryotic small subunit ribosomal RNA", at positions 587 to 972 of the family's 1831-position model. The record is from RNAcentral.
UGCUCCAAGAGUUUAUAUAUGUGUUGCUGCAGUUGAAAAGCUCGUAGUUGGGAUUAGAUGAGGAUGAGUUUGGGUGGUUCUGGUGUCGGGUUUUGCCUGUGCCAGUUAAAUGCAUGUAUUUGUGGCCCCCUCCAUCCACUUUUUUUUGUUCAUGUAAGUUGGGUUCUGCCCAACUCACACCUGAACGUGUUACUUUGAGUAAAUCUGAGUGUUCAAAGCAGACGAAUUUCGUCUUGAAAGUUGUAGCAUGGAAUAACGUGAUAGGACUCCGGUGGCCCUUUUCAGUUGGUCUAAGCCGUUCCGGAGUAAUGACUAAGAGGGACAGUCGGGGGCACUCGUACUUCCUUGUCAGAGGUGAAAUUCUUGGAUUUAGGAAAGACGAACCACUGCGAAAGCAUUUGCCAAGGAUGUUUUCA